AGACACAGAGCCAGGCCGGGUGGAAAACAAAAAGAGAAGAAGUGAUUAUGAAAUAAUAAGACGGACCGUGUGCCCCUUGCAAGUUUCACUCUUGUUGCCCAGGCUGGAGUGCAACAGCAUGAUCUCAGCUCACUGCAACCUCUGCCUCCCGGGUUCAAGCGAUUCUCCUGCCUCAGACUCCCAAGUGGCUGGCAUUACAGGCAUGUACCACCACGCUCGGGUAGUUUUGUAUUUUUAGUAGAGACGGGGUUUCUCCAUGUUGGUCAGGCUGGCCUCAAACUCCCGACCUCAAGUGAUCCGCCUGCCUCAGCCUCCCAAAGUGCUGGGAUUACAGGCGUGAGUCACCGUGCCCGGCCUCUUUUUCUUUUUUUAAAGAAAUCAGAGAAGGAGCAGGAUGAAGUGCUGAUGGACCAAUGUUUGCCAAAUCCUUUGUUUCCAACAUACCCUGACUGAUGAGGGGUCAUGUAGGCAUGACAUUCGACCACAAUUCUGCCAGAAAGCAAAAGAAAAAAUCUUGCAGCAGAAAGUGGAGAGAUUCUUAACGACCUCUACCGAGAGAAAUGCAUGGUUCUGAAAAAGAAGCUGAUUCAGGACUGGUAUAAAUAGGAAAAGAA
RNAcentral lists this small RNA (614 nucleotides) under Pan troglodytes (chimpanzee). Its description in RNAcentral is "processed transcript". Lineage: Eukaryota; Metazoa; Chordata; Mammalia; Primates; Hominidae. The record is from RNAcentral.